Drosophila miranda is the source of this 441-nucleotide long non-coding RNA. RefSeq lists it as uncharacterized. The transcript has 2 exons. The record is from RefSeq and is a predicted model, not a curated record. NCBI's taxonomy places the organism in Eukaryota, Metazoa, Arthropoda, Insecta, Diptera, Drosophilidae.
GAAGACGAUGACAGGUACACUUUGGAUGAAUGGCUUUGAAAUUGGCUGCAGUGCAGAGUGGGGGACAUCGUCCCGGACCAGGAUGGCUACUUCCUCUCUACGACCGUUUGCCGGAUUUUGUGCAGUGAAAACUUCGAACUCGUUCAGCUUGUUUGUCACACCACACGCGUUCCAGAAGGCAAUUUUAAAAGAGUUGCCGUUCUGGCUGACGCUGUGGGUGGAAAUAGUCUGGACUGGAUUGACGUUUUGGUUGACAGGCUAUUCAGGACUGGACUAAACAUAGAAAGCGUCAUUGGCGGAAGACAGGACCAUAUCCAAAGAGUUUGGUGAAGUGCUAUUUGUUGUUUUGCUUGUUUUAUUUGAAUUGAUAUUUAUUAAUUUGACUGUUUGAGGUGCCAAGCACCUAUGUGUUUCAAAAAUGAAAAGAGAUUUCGGGUUAAA